This 253-nucleotide ribosomal RNA is filed under the name uncultured bacterium. RNAcentral describes it as "partial 16S ribosomal RNA". It matches the Rfam family "Bacterial small subunit ribosomal RNA", at positions 524 to 776 of the family's 1533-position model. The record is from RNAcentral.
UACGUAGGGUGCGAGCGUUGUUCGGAAUUAUUGGGCGUAAAGAGCUUGUAGGCGGUUUGUCGCGUCUGCUGUGAAAAUCCGGGGCUCAACCCCGGACUUGCAGUGGGUACGGGCAGACUAGAGUGUGGUAGGGGAGACUGGAAUUCCUGGUGUAGCGGUGAAAUGCGCAGAUAUCAGGAGGAACACCGAUGGCGAAGGCAGGUCUCUGGGCCACUACUGACGCUGAGAAGCGAAAGCAUGGGGAGCGAACAGG